GGGAGAGAAGGAGUUAGUCUUAUUCCCAUUUUAUAGAUGCAGAAGCUGAAUCUCAGACUAGUGAAGGGACUUGCCCCAGAUCCCAUAGGGGGUCACUUGAGGCCUUCUGCAUCAUCGGCUCUUAUAAUUUGAAGGCAUUUAGGAGGCCCAUCUUGCUUAGUACAACCCCUUGUUUUACAGAUUCCUUCCCAGCCUCACAAUCUAAACUUAAAUCCUAGGCAGAUAAGAGUUCAGAUACUGUGAUGGAGAGAACUUUGAAAUGGAGUAGACCCAGCAGGAAGUGAAAUAACUUGGUAUCCUUUAAAGGGUUUAGAACUAGAAGAGACCUUAGAGGCCCUUUAAUCCAACCUCCCUUAUUUUAAAGAUGAGGAAACCCAGAGAAGCUCUCUGGCCAGAUCUGGUAUCUAUCUACUGCUCCAGGGUAGUCCAACAAGAGGAGUUUGAGUUCUGUCACUUUUAAUGUGUUACCUUGGGCCACAGUUUUCAUCUAAAAUAAAGGGACUGGAUCAGAUGGUUUCUAAAGUUCUUUUCAGCCUUCAAAAUAAGGAAAUCAUCAUCACACGCAUGAAUGAAUGAUAAGGUGUCAAUGAGACGGUGGCCACCAGGAGGCGCACAGAUUCUCCUGGUUAAGAGAAACAAAGGCUUUUCACGACCCACUUUUCCUCAUUCCUCUGUUUUUGUCAUGCAUUCUCUGGAGGAAGAUUGAGAGCGAGGAGAAUAAUAUUCUUUAAUUGGGCAAGAUACUGACCAAGUCGGGCAUUAUGUUUGAAGUGUGUCUGAUGUUAGGAUGGAGAAAGGCCCCAUUGGUUGGUUGUUUUUUUCUAUGAUGUAAUGGAAAAAUCAGUGGACUCGGAGUGCUGGGUUCCAAGCCUGGCUUUUGUACCAGCUGUGCAACCACGGCAUCCUGGCGAGGUCUACGGAGGAGCGGACACCCUGACAAGCACAGUUAGCUUCUGAUGCUCAGUCCUCAGAUCCCUGGGGCCAUCAGAAUACGGAGAGGAUUUUGUUGGGACAGAGCCAGAAGCAGGAUGGCUGCCCUUUUCCCAAGAGCAUAACUGUUGAGACACCCAGAGCUAAUGCUUCACCCUUUGAUUGACCUGGUGAUCCCCUCCUCAGGAAUUGAUCACAGCAUACUUCUGCUGACGUUGUGGGAUGGCAGUGAGGUUGGGGAGAGGGAUGGACAGAUCCCUCUGCACCGUGGCAUCUGAUGAUCAGAUUGGAAACUAUUAACCAAACUUGUCGAGUAGGCCCGGGCAUGUUUGGGGUUUUUAUCAGCCAGGCAUCGGGAGGGAAAAAUGGGAGGAAUGUAGAACAGAACAUGCCUUCUAAAAGGUAUGUGGGAAGUCUGUGCAAAGUUACUGACCAUAUACCCCUACCUUCACAGGCCUGAGGCCUGAAUUGGUCAAUAACCUCAAGGACCCUAUUUUUAAAACCUUAUAAAUAGGUAUUCCCUCAAGCUGGGGAAGUUGAAGUAAACAGAGGGCUUAAAUGAAUGUUGGGCUUUCUUACCCCAGGCUGGAGCUGUCUGCAGUGUGACUCAGCAUAUUAAUGAGAUCAAACAGUCAAGUUCAUUGGAUGAGCUCAGAAGGAAUUCACAGACCCCCUGAGUUUCUCGUUGGGGGAUUGAAGGGUGGAUGGGCAUCAAGUGUUAACCCCUUGUGGUGGGCUAGCAUGGUUUUAUUUCCUAAAGCUGUGCCCAUGGAGUAACUGACUGACUGAAGAGGCAAAGGCUUUUUAGUUUAGAAAUUCACAUCAGUUUCUGUGUGAUGUUCUGUGAGGGUCUUGGGGCAUUUAUUCCUUGAUUGAUAAAGCUUUUUCUUUAGUACCCCCGAGCUUGAUCCUUUUUUUUCCUGCUGCUGAGAAUGACAGGUAGCAUCUAUAUUUAGCAAUUAGAAGUGUAAUAGACUACUGCUGUCCCAUAAGAAGUAAAUGUAUGAAGAAUAAGGUAAAUGUUAAGAAAAGCUUAUACAGAGGGAUAGAUUCAGAAGAGAACACAGAUCAGAUUAGUAGUCAUUUUGUUAAAAAUUGUAUCACACCAGAAAAGCAGAAUGAAAGAAGUUUUCAGAGAAAUGUAGUUUUCCAACAAAAAGAUGGGUCAAUCAUGUGGUAUGGGCAAAGAAUGACCACUGGAAGUACCUGCAAGAUUGUUGGUAGCCACCUAAUGUCAAGUGAUAGGGGAAGAUUUCUGGCACAUGGGGUUGGAGCCCCAUUUGUCAUAUUUGUUGGAGAAAUAUGGUAAAAAAUCACACAGGAUGGACAGGCCUAGAUGGACAUUUGUAUAAUGGGAGUAAAUACCUACUUUGAGGAGAUCAUAGAGCCACUGAAAUAUCAAAAAAUCAAAGUUUUAUUCUUUUAUAAUCAAGCAUUGUAAUUCAGAUUUAAAGUAUUUUUUUUGAAAAUUUACUCCUUUUUCAAUUUAUUUGUCCUCGUUGAAUGUGUUAAUUUUUCAAGAGGAGAACAAAAUGAUAUAGGGAGAGAAUAGUGCAAAUCCUUCCUUCUUAGGCUGUCCACCCAUCUCCACAUAUUUACAUUAUGUGUCUUUCUCUUGGUUUCACAGCCCAACCUCAGGGGCCUCUCUGCAACUUUAGAGGAUCCCUGACAGGUUGGGUUUGAGGAAAGUUAAGACAUGAAUGCAUUCUGAGUCUGACCCAGGCCCUUAGAGAAGGGUCUCUUUUGGGGCAUGAAGCAGCCAGCUUUCCUGACUCAUCCCCCAGGCAGAAGGCAGAUGCUCCCUCUUCCAGUCAUCCAAACGCAUGCCCCUGUGCUCAGUCCUUGGAGAGCAGCUUACAAUCUACAGGGAGGAUGCACACACCAUAAGUUUAGAUAAGGCUGAACCUGAUGUAGCAAAGGAGAGAACUAGAUAAGCAUUUUCUGCUAGGGAAAUUCAGGGAAAUUGUUGCUUAUUAUGAUGGAUUUUAUCCAUUGCUUCAGAGGAUUUAAUUGUAACUUAAGUAGAAAGUUAAAAUAAAAAGAAAGAUCUGCAAUGUAACAUCAGAAAGAGGGAGUCAAAGAUCAGGGGCACAUUGUAUAUUCCUAGGGAUCAUAGAACUAAAGCUGAAGGGAGUUUUUAGAGGUCAUCUGGUCCAUUUUACAAGUAAAGAAACUGAGACUCAGAGAAAUUGAAUGACUUGUUCAAGGCCACACAAGUAGAAAGUAGCAGAGCCAGAAUUUGAACUCUCAGAUAUCUGGGAAAAUUGCUCUUCUUCCCUGGGUAUUUCUGAAGAGGAAAUUGUCAGGCAGAGACUGCACUUGUCUUUCUCUAUAUUUUCUUCUAGUCAAAGAAUCUGCUCUUUCAAGUUUUUGGGCCAACUUGAAACAGCAUUUCCAGAAUGGUUUAGGUGAUAGAAGGAAGAUUCAGCUUAGGUGACAAGGGAAGGAGGGAAGAAGUAAUAGAGAUUUGGCUGAGGUCAUUAAACCCUCAAAAUGUAAUGUGGCCUGUGACUAUACUUCAGAAAUAGAUUCUUUGAUCCUCCAUUGCUGAAGCCUCUAUACCGCCUUUAAUUGCAUUUUAUCUCAGCAUCUCAUUGCUAGCCCUUUGAGAAGGAUGGAAAUUUCCACCUGGAAGCCAAAGGGAUGACCAAGUCUCAGAGAUGGGGAGAAGGCACAAGGAAAUUUCCAUCACAAAAGCUAUGACAGAAUGAGGACCACUGGAUUGAUGUUUGUGGCUGAUGGUGCACAAGCCAUGGUGGAUCAAACUCCUGGUGCCUUGGUAUGAAUCAAGGCUACAGCAUUAAACUGUCCUAAUAGUCACUGUAUCCUUUGCCAGUUUCACUUAAGACUGUCUUUGAUGAAGCAAUAAAAAUGAUUAAUUUUGUUAAAUUUCA
Molecule: long non-coding RNA, 3824 nt
Organism: Antechinus flavipes (yellow-footed antechinus)
Lineage: Eukaryota; Metazoa; Chordata; Mammalia; Dasyuromorphia; Dasyuridae
Exons: 2
Source: RefSeq, a predicted model, not a curated record